CCCUGCAACUCACAACUGGCAACCCACUGAAGCUAAGCAGGUGUGAGCCUGGUCAGUACCUGGAUGAGAGACCUCCUGGGAAAAACUAAGGUUGUUGCUGGAA
RNAcentral lists this ribosomal RNA (103 nucleotides) under Lepisosteus oculatus (spotted gar). Lineage: Eukaryota; Metazoa; Chordata; Actinopteri; Semionotiformes; Lepisosteidae. The record is from RNAcentral.